RNAcentral lists this ribosomal RNA (439 nucleotides) under uncultured bacterium. RNAcentral describes it as "partial 16S ribosomal RNA". It matches the Rfam family "Bacterial small subunit ribosomal RNA", at positions 339 to 795 of the family's 1533-position model. The record is from RNAcentral.
CUACGGGUGGCAGCAGUGAGGAAUAUUGCACAAUGGGGGGAACCCUGAUGCAGCAACGCCGCGUGGAGGAUGACGCAUUUCGGUGUGUAAACUCCUUUUAUAUGUCAAGAAAAUGACGGUAGCAUAUGAAUAAGCACCGGCUAACUCCGUGCCAGCAGCCGCGGUAAUACGGAGGGUGCAAGCGUUACUCGGAAUCACUGGGCGUAAAGGACGCGUAGGCAGGUUGGAAAGUCAGGUGUGAAAUCCUACAGCUUAACUGUAGAACUGCACUUAAAACUUCUAAUCUAGAGGAUGGGAGGGGUAGAUGGAAUUAGUGGUGUAGGGGUAAAAUCCGUAGAUAUCACUAGGAAUACCUAAAGCGAAGGCGAUCUCCUGGAACAUUACUGACGCUAAGGCGUGAAAGCGUGGGGAGCAAACAGGAUUAGAUACCCCAGUAGUC